This 253-nucleotide ribosomal RNA is filed under the name uncultured bacterium. RNAcentral's name for it is "partial 16S ribosomal RNA". It matches the Rfam family "Bacterial small subunit ribosomal RNA", at positions 524 to 776 of the family's 1533-position model. The record is from RNAcentral.
UACGGAGGGGGCUAGCGUUGUUCGGAAUUACUGGGCGUAAAGCGCACGUAGGCGGCUUUGUAAGUUAGAGGUGAAAGCCCGGGGCUCAACUCCGGAAUUGCCUUUAAGACUGCAUCGCUAGAAUUGUGGAGAGGUAAGUGGAAUUCCGAGUGUAGAGGUGAAAUUCGUAGAUAUCAGGAAGAACACCCGUGGCGAAAGCGGCUCUCUAGGACGGUACUGACGCUGAGACGCGAAAGCGUGGGGAGCGAACAGG